RNAcentral lists this ribosomal RNA (216 nucleotides) under uncultured bacterium. Its description in RNAcentral is "partial 16S ribosomal RNA". It matches the Rfam family "Bacterial small subunit ribosomal RNA", at positions 118 to 351 of the family's 1533-position model. The record is from RNAcentral.
UGGGAACGUACCCUUCAGUUCGGAACAACCCAGGGAAACUUGGGCUAAUACCGAAUACGUCCGUAAGGAGAAAGAUUUAUCGCUGAAGGAUCGGCCCGCGUCUGAUUAGCUAGUUGGUGAGGUAACGGCUCACCAAGGCGACGAUCAGUAGCUGGUCUGAGAGGAUGAUCUGCCUCACUGGGACUGAGACACGGCCCAGACUCCUACGGGAGGCAG